GCCAGUAUCACUGCUGAUGUGGUUUCUGAUGGUACAGGUGAGAUUCUCUUGCUGAUAGAAUCACUGCUGAUGUAGUUUCUGAUGGUACAGGUGAGAUCUCCUGACAGGCCUUUCUUCAGAGUGAUGGUGUUUGUCUCAUUUCCAGGAGAGGUCUCAGUGUCUCUCAGUGUCUGUCCAUCCAGAGUCCAGCUGUACUGGGGACCAUCCCCCUCAGAGGAACAGGACACCCUCAUCUCUCCAUGGGACAGACACUCAGAGGACAUCAGAGGACUGGACACUGGAGCUGUGGGGGAAGAAGGAUAUGUAACUGUAGUAAGAGGGCAUAACACAUUAGAACAACACCAGCCAUUCUUCUUGAAAGCCACAGAAACUACUGUAGUCAACAGGAGCAGCAGAUUCAUGACACACAAUGACUGCAUUUCAAAUAACCAACAGAUGAUUUAAUGUUGAUGGAUGUGGUUAUGACUCUAUGUACCAACUACAGUAGACUAUGAAAAUAAAAAUGACUCCAUGGUUACACAUAAAUUGCAUUUCUCAUUAUUUUGUUUAUUAGGUAGUCACAUAUUUGUAGUUUAGCCAGAGCAAUAGCUUGUCAAAGUUACCACUUGUAAUAAUUAUUUGGAUAGUUAGUUAAUUACCUUCGAUGAACAGGUGUAGUCCUCUGGUCCCUGAUGAUAUCCCUACUGAAUUAAAUGUUUCUAGCAGGUAUUCACCAGAAUCUGUACUUCUUGUGUUAUUUAACCUAAAUGUCCUAUUGUUUAUAAAGAAGUGUACUCUGUCUUUAAUGGUGGUGUCUCUUAUUACCCAUAUGUCCUUCCUCGUUUCGAGUAUAUUUGUUUUAGCACCAGUUGAGCCUUUAUAAAAUGAGAGUCCAUCAUAUCUCGUGGCAUCAGUCACCAGCUGGAGAUAGACAGUUCCUCCCAGAGCUCCAUAACACUGAGUACCAUUCUGUCUAGCAUCACAGGAAGUCUCCAAGCCUGAAGAUCAAGAAGAAAAGACAAUGUAGUGACGAUCACUGUUCUAACCCAUGUCAAGUCAUGUAUCAUUUUUCAGAUGAGGAUAUAAGUAACUAACAGUAUAACCAAACCAACAGCAUCAAUGUGAUAGGGAUCAUUAAGUCAGUGAUCAUUAUCAUGGGACAAUGAGUAAAGAGACAACUGUCUUCUACAGUGUUCUGAAUAUUGUCUAUCAUCAUCUGUCAUUUCUGCUACGUGAUAUACAAGACUCCUGAUACAAUGUUUUCCAUAAAAGAAGAGGAAAACCAACACAUAUGAAGAUGUUUCUUACCAUGAGACACUCCAGCUGAGAUCACCAACAGUCCUAAAACAGCCUCCAUGUCUCUUUACAACACAGGGUCUCAGUUUAUCAAAUUAACUUCGGUACUUCAACAAAGUCCUCUAUUUUCUAUUCAGAGCUGAAUUUCCAGAAUCUGGCAAUGUUUUACGGCACGAACAAAAACCAAUGCAAGGAAAGUAUGAGAGAUAGCUGUUCCUGCCACUCAGAAUAAUUC
This 1510-nucleotide long non-coding RNA is filed under the name Salmo trutta (river trout). RNAcentral describes it as "lncRNA (ENSSTUG00000003078.1)". Lineage: Eukaryota; Metazoa; Chordata; Actinopteri; Salmoniformes; Salmonidae. The record is from RNAcentral.